Zonotrichia albicollis (white-throated sparrow) is the source of this 1725-nucleotide long non-coding RNA. Lineage: Eukaryota; Metazoa; Chordata; Aves; Passeriformes; Passerellidae. The record is from Ensembl.
CAUGCAUCCCUGCCCCUCAUUUCCCCAUUGCUGGCCUGAGGGAAUGAGAAUUUCUCCCCCCAGCCCUCAGGCCUGCCCACCUGAAGCAGAUUUUGCAGUGCAAUCUGUGACACAGCCCGUUCAGUGGCUCAUCUGCCAUGCGUGACCAGGGGGGGACACCAGCCUGGCAUCAUCCCCCUCUCCUCCCUGAGUCAUCCUGAGCUCUGGAUAAUUGGAUCCAGCGCCAGAAACUCUCCUUGCAGAGUUCAUGGCAUCAUUAAGCCUCCAGGCAGGGGGACCAGCAGCAGCAGGUGAUUUCCAUUUGCUGCAGCAAAGGGGCUGUGAGCAAAGCUUGGAAAAACAGAGUGGGAAAUUAUCCCUGAACCUUUACAAGGAGCUGCGAGCAGAGCUUGGAGGCAGAGAGUUUUUGGGAAAUCAUCCCAGCCCAGCUCAUCUGAACAUUUACAGGGAGCAGAGCAGAGCAUGGAGGCACAGAAUGAGAAAUCAGCCCAGCCCAGCUCACCUGAACCCUUACACAGGAGCUGUGAACAGAGGAGAGAUUGAGGCACAGAGUUUUUGGGAAAUAAUCCCAGUCCAGCUCAUCUGGAACCCUUACAGGGAGCAGAGGAGAGCUUGGAGCACAGAAUUUUUGGGAAAUCAUCUCAGCCCAGCUCAUCUGAACAUUUACAGGGGCUGUGAGCAGAACUUGGAGUACAGAACAGGAAAUCAUCCCAGCCCAGCUCAUCUGGAACCCUUACAAGGAGCAGAGGAGAGCUUGGAAAAACAGAGUGGGAAAUCAUCCCAGCCCAGUUCACCUGAACCCUUACAGAGAGCUGUGAACAGAGGAGAAUUUGGAGGCACAGAGUGUUGGAGAAAUCAGCCCAGCUCAUCUGGAACCUUUACAGGGAACUGUGAGCAGAGUCUGGAGGCACAGAGUUUUUGGGAAAUCAUCCCAGCCCAGCUCAUCUGGAACCCUUACAGGAGCUGUGAGCAGAGCUUGGAGCACAGAGUGUUGGGAAAUCAUCCCAGCCCAGCUCAUCUAAACCCUUAGAGGGAGCAGAGCAGAGCAAGGAGGCACAGAAUGUUUGGGAAAUCAUCCCAGCCAGCUCACCUGAACCCUUACAGGGGCUGUGAGCAGAGGCAGAGAUGGAGGCACAGAGUUUUUGGGAAAUCAUGCCAGCCCCCUGUGCUUCCCUGCCCAUCCCUUCCCCGCCAGCCCCCAGCCCCUGGCAGAGCUGAGAGCCGCCAGCAGAGCCUGGAGAACAAUCCCUGCCAUCCCCAAGGAUCUCCCCCUGACUCUGGAUCCGUGGCUCUCUCCCUGCAAUCCUCCCCACUGCGCCAGAGAGCUCCUCCAAAAACGCAUUAAGGCACACAAGUGGGCUCUUCACCGCUCUCUCUUUUCCCUGAGAGGAAUAAUGCACUUGAUUCCCUUUGAUUUUUUAAUUUCAAUCCCUUUGUCAGGCACACAUGGCACUGCUGGAAGGGGCACAGGAGAAGCGCUGUGUGCCAGGAGGGGAGAGCUGAGCUUGGAUCCCACUGCAGCCCUGCCUGUCACAGCCCUAAAAACAUCAUUGUAGGGUUGGGAGCAUCCCAAAUCCUACAUUUGGAUCCCUUCAGUUAUCCUGAUGAGCUCCAGGAUCACUGGAGGGGAAGGCCUGACGGGCUCAGGAUGGGCUAGGAAUAUCAAAGUUCAUCUUAAUUUUACAUUUGCCACUCAAAUAAAUGCCUUUAUCCGCACUGUCCCCA